AGGCCUCGUUGUUUUGCACCUGUGAAUGAAACCAAGCUCAGCUUUGUUUUGUAAGAAGAGUCAGUGUCCACACAGACAGAGAAGCCCUGAGGGAAACAAGGCACCCUCAUGUGCUGAGGAACAGGCUGAACUUGGGCGUGCCUGUCUCAGGCCUGCUGCCCAGAAAGUCCGCCCUAAAGAAAAACCAGCCAAAGCCAGUGAAGACCUCAUUUCUCCACAAACAUCUGGAAAGAUAAGGAAGUGGCUGAAUGUCUUGAGUGACUUCUCAUCGCCUCCCUGGCAGCAGCUGGGCAGGAGUGGGGUUUCCUGAGUGGCUGCUUUUGCUAACACUCCAAGUCCUCGGGGUGGAGGGUCGGGAUGGCCCCACAGAAAGAAAGCCAGGACCUUCCGGAAACUCUCCUCUUACCAUUGACAGAAAUGCCAUGAGGAGGGGAGAGAUAAUGAGAGGCCCGGGACUGAAUCACAAGGAAGUCAGCUCUGGAUUCAGCAACCAAGAAAGGCCAUCAUUUGCACUGUCCCCAGCACAAUCACCUACCAAGAAAGGUCCAGCCCUUCAGAGAAGUAGAAAAUGGGAUUCCUGUGCCACACGCUUGCUGGAGCCUGCUCUCACUCAAUUUAAAAUGAUCUUCGCUUUCACAACUUGUAUCUGGUGUCUCACUCAGACAUAUCUCACCUAGAGAUACAAGAUGGGCCCUCGGAGUGUUCCUUUUCCAGUACCAGGAGCGUCUCAACUCAGCGUGAAGAUCAGCAUUCACGUAGCUAGCCUUUUUCAAACUACUGAGUGAAAUUACUCAUGCUCUCUGCCUAAU
Molecule: long non-coding RNA, 809 nt
Organism: Mesocricetus auratus (golden hamster)
Lineage: Eukaryota; Metazoa; Chordata; Mammalia; Rodentia; Cricetidae
Exons: 3
Source: RefSeq, a predicted model, not a curated record